Molecule: long non-coding RNA, 362 nt
Organism: Dromiciops gliroides (monito del monte)
Lineage: Eukaryota; Metazoa; Chordata; Mammalia; Microbiotheria; Microbiotheriidae
Exons: 2
Source: RefSeq, a predicted model, not a curated record
GGCAGCUACUCUUCAUCUCCUGAGUGAAGCUUUCCACAUUUCUCCGAAAGGCUUGAGAUGACUAUUUUGUCCCCUUUGUUUCCAAGUUCAGAAGGAGGAACAGGUUCAUCUGCUUCAUAUUCUUCAAAAGAGCUAAUCACAAAAUCUGAGUUGGGAAGGAACUCAAUGGCCACCUAGCCCCUCUACCUGAACAGAAUCCUCUGUACAACACAUUUGACAAGUGGUUAUCCAGCCUUUGCUUGAAGAUCUUCAAUGAGGAGGAAACAGACUACCUUCUGAAACGUCCUAUUUCAUUUAUGGACACUGUUGUUGUUUGCAAGUUUUCCCUUACCUCAAGAAUAAAUCUGCCUUUUAAAAAUUUA